UACGGAGGGUGCGAGCGUUAAUCGGAAUCACUGGGCGUAAAGCGCGCGUAGGCGGUUCGUUAAGUGGGAUGUGAAAUCCCCGGGCUUAACCUGGGAAUUGCAUUUCAAACUGGCCGACUAGAGUACGGUAGAGGGAGGUAGAAUUUCCUGUGUAGCGGUGAAAUGCGUAGAUAUAGGAAGGAAUACCAGUGGCGAAGGCGGCCUCCUGGAUCGAUACUGACGCUGAGGCGCGAAAGCGUGGGGAGCAAACAGG
This 253-nucleotide ribosomal RNA is filed under the name uncultured bacterium. RNAcentral describes it as "partial 16S ribosomal RNA". It matches the Rfam family "Bacterial small subunit ribosomal RNA", at positions 524 to 776 of the family's 1533-position model. The record is from RNAcentral.